UACGGGGGGAGCAAGCGUUGUUCGGAUUUAUUGGGCGUAAAGGGUAGGUAGGUGGUCUCAUUUGUCUGGGGUGAAAGCCUUGAGCUUAACUCAAGAAGUGCCCCAGAAACGGUGAGACUGGAGUCCUGGAGAGGGUCGUGGAAUUCCCGGUGUAGCGGUGAAAUGCGUAGAGAUCGGGAGGAACACCAGAGGCGAAGGCGGCGACCUGGACAGGUACUGACACUCAACUACGAAAGCGUGGGGAGCAAACAGG
This 253-nucleotide ribosomal RNA is filed under the name uncultured bacterium. Its description in RNAcentral is "partial 16S ribosomal RNA". It matches the Rfam family "Bacterial small subunit ribosomal RNA", at positions 524 to 776 of the family's 1533-position model. The record is from RNAcentral.